RNAcentral lists this long non-coding RNA (237 nucleotides) under Setaria italica (foxtail millet). Its description in RNAcentral is "long non-coding RNA (SITA_LNC003703)". Lineage: Eukaryota; Viridiplantae; Streptophyta; Magnoliopsida; Poales; Poaceae. The record is from RNAcentral.
UUAGACUUCAUUUUCAUUCUUACAUCUGAAGCUUGUGGCUUCAUCUUCAAGUUACUCAACAUUUACUCCUAUUCAACAACUUUUUAUCUUAGUAUUGCAGCUUCUUGUAGCCCUCCCAAAGAAACUUUAGAUCUUGAUCUUGUACCUGAGGCUAGAUGCAUGGCCACAUAAUCAAUGAAGGGAUUUGAAUGCAAAUCUUGAUGACCAGAAUUUGGUACUGCAACCUCAAGGAUUGUU